RNAcentral lists this ribosomal RNA (237 nucleotides) under uncultured soil bacterium. RNAcentral describes it as "partial 16S ribosomal RNA". It matches the Rfam family "Bacterial small subunit ribosomal RNA", at positions 26 to 265 of the family's 1533-position model. The record is from RNAcentral.
AGAUUGAACGCUGGCGGCAGGCCUAACACAUGCAAGUCGAGCGGUAGAGAGGUGCUUGCAUCUCUUGAGAGCGGCGGACGGGUGAGUAAUGCCUAGGAAUCUGCCUAGUGGUGGGGGAUAACGUUCGGAAACGGACGCUAAUACCGCAUACGUCCUACGGGAGAAAGCGGGGGACCUUCGGGCCUCGCGCCAUUAGAUGAGCCUAGGUCGGAUUAGCUAGUUGGUGAGGUAAUGGCU